UAUUGCACCUGAUGCCGACGAAGAGGCAAGCCUUAACGGCAUAUGGAAGGGAAGGAUCAUUAGUAGCGAAGUUUACACUCCAUCUGAGGAAGAAUCCUCAGGUGGUGAAAACAGCAUGGUAAAAUGCCGCAUACCUGACUCAGGUGAAACAAGAGCGGAUAGUUCUUUGGUAGGGUUUGUGAAUGGUGACAAUGUUUCCAUGCAAAAUAGUGAUUCUGG
Molecule: non-coding RNA, 219 nt
Organism: Camelina sativa (false flax)
Lineage: Eukaryota; Viridiplantae; Streptophyta; Magnoliopsida; Brassicales; Brassicaceae
Source: RefSeq, a predicted model, not a curated record